Molecule: non-coding RNA, 108 nt
Organism: Acanthosepion pharaonis
Lineage: Eukaryota; Metazoa; Mollusca; Cephalopoda; Sepiida; Sepiidae
Source: the annotation of a GenBank genome assembly
CCACAUCACAUUCAAACACUAGUUUCCAUAUGAUCACCAAAGUUAAGCAAUGUCAAGCCAGGUUAAUACCUAGAUGGGUGGCCACUUGGGAAUACCAGCUGCUGUAAG